UGGGGAAUAUUGGACAAUGUGGGCAACCCUGAUCCAGCCAUGCCGCGUGAGUGAAGAAGGCCUUAGGGUUGUAAAGCUCUUUCAGUCGUGACGAUGAUGACGGUAGCGACAGAAGAAGCCCCGGCUAACUCCGUGCCAGCAGCCGCGGUAAUACGGAGGGGGCAAGCGUUGUUCGGAUUUACUGGGCGUAAAGGGCGCGUAGGCGGGGUAUCAAGUUAGGGGUGAAAGCCCGGGGCUCAACCUCGGAACUGCCUUUAAAACUGUCGAUCUUGAGUCCGGGAGAGGUGAGUGGAAUUCCUAGUGUAGAGGUGAAAUUCGUAGAUAUUAGGAAGAACACCAGUGGCGAAGGCGGCUCACUGGCCCGGUACUGACGCUGAGGUGCGAAAGCGUGGGGAGCAAACAGGAUUAGAUACCCGCGUAGUCC
RNAcentral lists this ribosomal RNA (424 nucleotides) under uncultured prokaryote. RNAcentral's name for it is "bacterial SSU rRNA". It matches the Rfam family "Bacterial small subunit ribosomal RNA", at positions 355 to 796 of the family's 1533-position model. The record is from RNAcentral.